AUGACUUGAUGUCACGUGUAUGAUUGAGUAUAAGAACUUAAACCGCAACCGAUCUUAAAAGCCUAAGUUGUGUUUCCUUGUUAGGAGA
This 88-nucleotide small RNA is filed under the name Arabidopsis thaliana (thale cress). RNAcentral describes it as "ATSL270340". Lineage: Eukaryota; Viridiplantae; Streptophyta; Magnoliopsida; Brassicales; Brassicaceae. The record is from RNAcentral.